GCUCCCUUAGGUCAGCGGCGGACGGGUGAGUAACACGUGGGUAACCUGCCUGUAAGACUGGGAUAACUCCGGGAAACCGGGGCUAAUACCGGAUGCUUGAUUGAACCGCAUGGUUCAAUCAUAAAAGGUGGCUUUUAGCUACCACUUACAGAUGGACCCGCGGCGCAUUAGCUAGUUGGUGAGGUAACGGCUCACCAAGGCGACGAUGCGUAGCCGACCUGAGAGGGUGAUCGGCCACACUGGGACUGAGACACGGCCCAGACUCCUACGGGAGGCAGCAGUAGGGAAUCUUCCGCAAUGGACGAAAGUCUGACGGAGCAACGCCGCGUGAGUGAUGAAGGUUUUCGGAUCGUAAAACUCUGUUGUUAGGGAAGAACAAGUACCGUUCGAAUAGGGCGGUACCUUGACGGUACCUAACCA
Molecule: ribosomal RNA, 420 nt
Filed under: Bacillus licheniformis
Lineage: Bacteria; Bacillati; Bacillota; Bacilli; Caryophanales; Bacillaceae
Description: bacterial SSU rRNA
Rfam family: Bacterial small subunit ribosomal RNA
Source: RNAcentral